This 87-nucleotide small RNA is filed under the name Marmota monax (woodchuck). Lineage: Eukaryota; Metazoa; Chordata; Mammalia; Rodentia; Sciuridae. The record is from RNAcentral.
GCCGGGCGUGGCAAUGCACGCCUGUAAUCCCGGCAGCUCAGGAGGCUGAAGCAGGAGGAUGGCAAGUUCAAAGCCAGCCUCAGCUAA